This is a long non-coding RNA of Acomys russatus (golden spiny mouse), 506 nucleotides long. RefSeq lists it as uncharacterized. The record is from RefSeq and is a predicted model, not a curated record. The transcript is spliced from 3 exons. NCBI's taxonomy places the organism in Eukaryota, Metazoa, Chordata, Mammalia, Rodentia, Muridae.
UUAAGUCCGGACGGAGCCUGAGGUGGGAUCGCCUGGGUCCCUUCCACAUCUGCUGUUCCUUAAACAAGUUCUCACACAGUCACAAGGCUGGGAAAGCUGACCCAUGGGACUUCAGGGAUCUCCUUCAAGGCUUCUACUGUCCUCAGUGCUGGGGCUGCCCCUGCCUUAAGAGUGCCUGAGAAACCUAGCAUCACAGUGAGUCCUCCAGACCCUCACCCACUCUGCCAGGGACACCAGGUCUGUCUUCCCGUACUUGCCGCCGCACCAAAAAAAUCAAAACCCAAGCUGAGAAUACUAGGAAGCAUCACCGUACAGCACGGAAAGAAAUAAUGAAAACAAAUCAACAGCCACACACUGGGACUCACCCUGCCCCAGGACCCAGGAGCCAGGAGUGUGGGUGAUUGUCAAGUCUGGGGAUGGGUCACCUCUUGGCGGACCCACCCCUCCCUUCUUCCCUCUUGGGGCUGAAUGGGGUAGAGAAUUCAGACUCUCCUUGGGAGUCUCAG